RNAcentral lists this ribosomal RNA (515 nucleotides) under uncultured bacterium. RNAcentral's name for it is "partial 16S ribosomal RNA". It matches the Rfam family "Bacterial small subunit ribosomal RNA", at positions 28 to 523 of the family's 1533-position model. The record is from RNAcentral.
GAUGAACGCUGGCGGCGUGCCUAAUACAUGCAAGUCGAGCGAAUGGAUUAAGAGCUUGCUCUUAUGAAGUUAGCGGCGGACGGGUGAGUAACACGUGGGUAACCUGCCCAUAAGACUGGGAUAACUCCGGGAAACCGGGGCUAAUACCGGAUAACAUUUUGAACGGCAUGGUUCGAAAUUGAAAGGCGGCUUCGGCUGUCACUUAUGGAUGGACACGCGUCGCAUUAGCUAGUUGGUGAGGUAACGGCUCACCAAGGCAACGAUGCGUAGCCGACCGGAGAGGGUGAUCGGCCAGACUGGGACUGAGACACGGCCCAGACGCCUACGGGAGGCAGCAGUAGGGAAUCUUCCGCAAUGGACGAAAGUCUGACGGAGCAACGCCGCGUGAGUGAGGAAGGCUUUCGGGUCGUAAAACUCUGUUGUUAGGGAAGAACAAGUGCUAGUUGAAUAAGCUGGCACCUUGACGGUACCUAACCAGAAAGCCACGGCUAACUACGUGCCAGCCGCCGCAGUAA